GACCAAGGAGUCUAACACGUGCGCAAGUCGCAGGGCUGUACGAAACCCGGAGGCGCAAUGAAAGUGAAGGUCUGCCUUGUGCAGGCCCUGGUGAGAUCUCGAGAAGAGUAUUUAUUUACUCUCGACGGGCGCACCACCGGCCCGUCUCAGCCGCAGCGUCGGCGAGGCGGAGCAAGAGCGUACUUGUUGGGACCCGAAAGAUGGUGAACUAUGCCUGAGCAGGACGAAGCCAGAGGAAACUCUGGUGGAGGUCCGCAGCGAUUCUGACGUGCAAAUCGAUCGUCUGACUUGGGUAUAGGGGCGAAAGACUAAUCGAACCAUC
This 322-nucleotide ribosomal RNA is filed under the name Erpobdella japonica. RNAcentral's name for it is "eukaryotic LSU rRNA". It matches the Rfam family "Eukaryotic large subunit ribosomal RNA", at positions 664 to 944 of the family's 3401-position model. Lineage: Eukaryota; Metazoa; Annelida; Clitellata; Hirudinida; Erpobdellidae. The record is from RNAcentral.